AGUUUUAUUUAAACCUUAAAUUUAAUCUGAUGUGUUCAGGUUUAAACUCAGGUUCAGUUAUUGAGUGAAAACACCAACAGACUCAGACAUUUAGAACAAACUAAGAGUCAGAUCAGCAGAAACAGAGAACACGGACAUGUCUGCUGUAACUGCGUCACUCUGCUCCACGCUGAUGUUUGUCCUGUUCGUCUCUGCAGACCAGAAAAACAUUGCAGCUGAGUCUGGACAGAACAUCACUCUG
Long non-coding RNA from Oreochromis niloticus (Nile tilapia), 241 nucleotides. RefSeq lists it as uncharacterized. Lineage: Eukaryota; Metazoa; Chordata; Actinopteri; Cichliformes; Cichlidae. The transcript has 2 exons. The record is from RefSeq and is a predicted model, not a curated record.